UAAAUUGAGAGUUUGAUCCUGGCUCAGGACGAACGCUGGCGGCGUGCUUAACACAUGCAAGUCGAGCGAUGAAGUUCCUUCGGGAA
RNAcentral lists this non-coding RNA (86 nucleotides) under Clostridium collagenovorans DSM 3089. RNAcentral describes it as "Bacterial small subunit ribosomal RNA". It matches the Rfam family "Bacterial small subunit ribosomal RNA", at positions 1 to 86 of the family's 1533-position model. Lineage: Bacteria; Bacillati; Bacillota; Clostridia; Eubacteriales; Clostridiaceae. The record is from Rfam by way of RNAcentral.